This is a long non-coding RNA of Sciurus carolinensis (gray squirrel), 381 nucleotides long. RefSeq lists it as uncharacterized. Lineage: Eukaryota; Metazoa; Chordata; Mammalia; Rodentia; Sciuridae. The record is from RefSeq and is a predicted model, not a curated record. The transcript is spliced from 3 exons.
GCUGCAGUCCCAAGAUCUCAGUGCCCUUUCAACUUGCAGAGAGACCACCAGGGAUGUGCGCACACAAAGGAGCGACCCUGCAAAGAGGCAGCUAGAUGGCAGCCACUACUACACUGACCAGAAAGACUCAGGAGCAACCAGACCUAACAAGCAUGGGAAUAACAAAUCCACAAUAAAGUGGCCAUCUAAGCAAGGAAAGAAGUGCAGGACUGGGAAAGGAAAAAGCAUAAAAACAGAUGUAAGGAGGUUGAGUAGAGAGGAGGAUAGAAGAAUAGUAAAUAAGAGAAGCCCAUUCCCUGCUGCAGCUCUCAAGAUUCGUGUAUGGCUUCCCCGAUGCCCACCUCAUGGUGUUCACACCUAUUACACCCUUUUAUGAUCCCC